This 115-nucleotide transfer RNA is filed under the name Pseudomonas psychrophila. RNAcentral describes it as "tRNA-Ser". Lineage: Bacteria; Pseudomonadati; Pseudomonadota; Gammaproteobacteria; Pseudomonadales; Pseudomonadaceae. The record is from RNAcentral.
GGCCGAUACUGCCAGAGUUUCGGAAAGGAAUAUAGCUACAAGCCACGGCCCGCUUGAAUUUACAUAUCGGAUUGCAAAUCCGCCCACGCCGGUUCGAUUCCGGCUUCGGCCUCCA